Molecule: transfer-messenger RNA, 368 nt
Filed under: Mycobacteriales bacterium
Lineage: Bacteria; Bacillati; Actinomycetota; Actinomycetes; Mycobacteriales
Rfam family: transfer-messenger RNA
About the family: Bacterial tmRNA, also known as 10Sa RNA or SsrA, is named for its dual tRNA and mRNA-like properties. Its role is to liberate the mRNA from a stalled ribosome.
Source: RNAcentral
GGGGAUGACAGGUCUCGACUCCGGAUGUCGAGGCAGGGGAAGCGGGCCGAGGAAGCCGACGAUCAUCUCGUUAACGACCCGUCGGAAAACACACAAGCGCCGACUCCAGUCCGCGCGCGUACGACCUCGCUGCCUAGCAGCUAGUUCGUCGCUGUCAGCCUGAGGACGCCCUCGACUCAGGACCUGGCAUCGCUAGAGGGACCACCACCCGCUUUGGCCGCGGGGGCGGGUGGUGAGCUACCGCGGCUGAGCUCGUUCCCGGCCUGCUGGCAGGACCGGGAGAGCCGAGAAACUCAACGCCAGCUGCGCCCGGAGAAGCCCUGUCUAUGCACCGGAGGACGCGGGUUCGAUUCCCGCCAUCUCCACGA